CGGCUAACUCCGUGCCAGCAGCCGCGGUAAUACGGAGGGUGCGAGCGUUAAUCGGAAUUACUGGGCGUAAAUGGCACGCAGGCGGUUAAUUAAGUUGGAUGUGAAAUCCCCGGGCUUAACCUGGAAAUGGCAUUCAAGACUGGUUAGCUAGAGUCUGGUAAGGGGGGGUAGAAUUCCAUGUGUAGCGGUGAAAUGGGUAGAGAUAUGGAGGAAUACCGGUGGCAAAGGCGGCCCCCUGGACAAAGACUGACGCUCAUGUGCGAAAGCGUGGGGAGCAAACAGGAUUAGAUACCCUGGUAGUCCACGCUGUAAACGAUGUCGAUUUGGAGGUUGUGGUCAUGAACUGUGGCCUCCGGAGCUAACGCGUUAAAUCGACCGCCUGGGGAGUACGGCCGCAAGGCUAAAACUCAAAUGAAUUGACGGGGGCCCGCACAAGCGGUGGAGCAUGUGGUUUAAUUCGAUGCAACGCGAAGAACCUUACCUACUCUUGACAUCCAGCGAAUCCUUUAGAGAUAGAGGAGUGCCUUCGGGAGCGCUGAGACAGGUGCUGCAUGGCUGUCGUCAGCUCGUGUUGUGAAAUGUUGGGUUAAGUCCCGCAACGAGCGCAACCCUUAUCCUUUGUUGCCAGCG
Molecule: ribosomal RNA, 630 nt
Filed under: Arsenophonus endosymbiont of Trialeurodes vaporariorum
Lineage: Bacteria; Pseudomonadati; Pseudomonadota; Gammaproteobacteria; Enterobacterales; Morganellaceae
Description: bacterial SSU rRNA
Rfam family: Bacterial small subunit ribosomal RNA
Source: RNAcentral